This 231-nucleotide ribosomal RNA is filed under the name Triticum aestivum (bread wheat). RNAcentral's name for it is "partial small subunit ribosomal RNA". Lineage: Eukaryota; Viridiplantae; Streptophyta; Magnoliopsida; Poales; Poaceae. The record is from RNAcentral.
AUGGCACCCAAGAGCAACGCUACCAGGAAGGCUGUGAUUUUCGUGGUUCUUAUGAUCGUGGCUUCCACCCUAUCAUCAUCGUCUUGCUACGCCCGCACAAUUGAAGAUGGAGCGAAUAUUCCAUGCUUCCAUCAGGAAAAGUGCAAAGAUCGUUGCCAGACCGUAUGCGGCUUGAGCUUUAAGCCCUCGGCUCAUGCGUAUUGCAAGCAGGAUCAGUGUUGUUGUGCCUAG